Molecule: ribosomal RNA, 904 nt
Filed under: Pyrenula fetivica
Lineage: Eukaryota; Fungi; Ascomycota; Eurotiomycetes; Pyrenulales; Pyrenulaceae
Description: LSU rRNA
Rfam family: Eukaryotic large subunit ribosomal RNA
Source: RNAcentral
AUAUCAAUAAGCGGAGGAAAAGAAACCAACUGGGAUUGCCUUAGUAACGGCGAGUGAAGCGGCAACAGCUCAAAUUUGAAAUCUGGCCCUCUUCGGGUCCGAGUUGUAAUUUGUAGAGGAUGCUUCGGGCAAGGCCCCGGUAUAAAUUCCUUGGAACAGGAUGUCACAGAGGGUGAGAGUCCCGUCUGUUACCGGAUGCCGCGUCCAUGUGAAGCUCCUUCGACGAGUCGGGUUGUUUGGGAAUGCAGCUCAAAAUGGGUGGUAAAUUUCAUCUAAAGCUAAAUAUUGGCCAGAGACCGAUAGCGCACAAGUAGAGUGAUCGAAAGAUGAAAAGCACUUUGAAAAGAGAGUUAAACAGCAUGUGAAAUUGUUGAAAGGGAAGCGCUUGCAACCAGACUUGUGGGCGGUCAUUCAGCCGUUCUCUUGAACGGUGCACUUUGCCGUCUCCAGGCCAGCAUCGGUUUGGGUCGUGAGUGAAAGGCUCCGGGAAUGUAUCAACCCUCCGGGGUUGACUUAUAGCCCGGGGUGCCAUCUCACGUAUCUAGACCGUGGUACGCGCUCUGCACGGAUGCUGGCGUAAUGGUUGUAAGCGACCCGUCUUGAAACACGGACCAAGGAGUCUAACAUCUAUGCGAGUGUUAGGGUGUUAAACCCCUGCGCGUAAUGAAAGUGAACGGAGGUAGGAGCCCUCACGGGUGCACUAUCGACCGAUCCUGAUGUUCUCGGAUGGAUUUGAGUAAGAGCAUAGCUGUUGGGACCCGAAAGAUGGUGAACUAUGCGUGUAUAGGGUGAAGCCAGAGGAAACUCUGGUGGAGGCUCGCAGCGGUUCUGACGUGCAAAUCGAUCGUCAAAUAUGCGUAUAGGGGCGAAAGACUAAUCGAACCAUCUGGUAGCUGGUUCCUGC